This is a microRNA precursor of Oryza sativa Indica Group (long-grained rice), 193 nucleotides long. It matches the Rfam family "MIR812 microRNA precursor family". The record is from Rfam. NCBI's taxonomy places the organism in Eukaryota, Viridiplantae, Streptophyta, Magnoliopsida, Poales, Poaceae.
UCUGGUUUCCGUGUCUAACAUUUAACCGUCCGUCUUAUUUAAAAAAAUUAUAAAAAAAAAUAAAAAGACAAGUCACAUAUAAAAUAUUAAUCAUGUUUUAUCAUCUAACAACAAUGAAAAUACGAAUUAUAAAAAAAUUUCAUAUAAAACGGACAGUUAAAGUUGGACACGGAAACCCAAUAUUUAACUUUUU